RNAcentral lists this long non-coding RNA (1242 nucleotides) under Malus domestica (apple). RNAcentral's name for it is "long non-coding RNA (MDOM_LNC011834)". The record is from RNAcentral. Lineage: Eukaryota; Viridiplantae; Streptophyta; Magnoliopsida; Rosales; Rosaceae.
UUUACGGAACGGUGCGUCGUCGCACUCUCUAAGUAAUCAAAAGUAGAAAGUGGAUAUAAUUUUUUUUUUUUUUUGGUGAACGAGAUAAUAUAAUUUGAUGUGCAGUGAAGUGAGAGAACAAGCGAAUCCAAAUGGAACCAAUAUUUUAACCAUGAGCUAGUGGUCCUGGUAAAUGACGGAUUACGAACUUUCUUUAAAAUUAAAAACUAAAGGUUUUAGGUUUGAAAUCUACUGUUGAUGUGAAAGCUAUAAACUUAUAGCCAAGGAAAAAUUGAAACAUCCUUGUGAAUCUUUUAGACCUUCAAAAAGAAUGAAUAACCGUGGUUUAAUACUAAUGGUUCGCUUUUAUUUAAAAAAGAAAAAGGAACCAAUAUUUUUACUAUUAAGUCGCAACGUUCAAUUUAACUUUGGUCGGUUACGUACAAAUGUACCCUGUGCAUCCUACAAAAAUCUUUUGAAGUGCGCAGUGCGCAGAGCAUGGCUCACGUUAGCAGCUCCCGAGAACACACAGCGUUUUAACUUUUCCCACUGUGGACCUACUUUAUUAAUAAGCUAAGGGUGAAAAAUUAAGGAAAUUUGUGUUCCUCAAAGGUCAAAUUUACCCAUUCAGCUUGGUUUAGUCCUACUGUGUGAAAGUUUAAAAUGCAAGGACAAAAUGGGUACUUCAACAAACGAACACAAUAACAAAUACAGGUGUUAAAAUAAUUUCUUGAAAUUUUGAUUUCAUUUUCCUUCUACAAGUUAAAUCUCCUAAUAAGUGGCAGAGGACGGUUUGAUAUUUUUACACAAGAAGAGGGACCAAAAUGAAAAUUAAAAAUUCUCUCCAUUUUCUCUGUAUUGUCCCUCAUUUAACUCCUUUUAAACAUCAUUUUUUUCCUCCAGAGUCCCCUAACAUAUACUUCCUUUCCAUUUUUACCCCUCCACCUGUCCAACCCAUACCCUAAUCAAUGUACUACAUGAACAGUUCAGAUUGCAUCAAGGUAUAGUAGUUGGCAGCUUCGUCCUCUAGCUCCCACAACCCAUCACCAAAAGUAAACCCAUCCAGACCAUUGAAUUUAAACCCGUUACCCGCCUCGUCAUCGAACCCGUCAGCCUCCCUCUGCGGAAUCCCGAGCUCGUCAUCGGAAGCUUCUAAAAGACGUCGCAAAACCCUCUCGCUCUCAUCCUCCUUCAAAAAGCAUGCAUUAGAAGAAGUAGGAGUGGAAGAGCCAGAGGACGAGGCAUAGCCUUCGAGAGCCGACU